This 284-nucleotide ribosomal RNA is filed under the name Segatella copri DSM 18205. Its description in RNAcentral is "Prevotella copri DSM 18205 partial 16S ribosomal RNA". It matches the Rfam family "Bacterial small subunit ribosomal RNA", at positions 493 to 776 of the family's 1533-position model. Lineage: Bacteria; Pseudomonadati; Bacteroidota; Bacteroidia; Bacteroidales; Prevotellaceae. The record is from RNAcentral.
UCUUUUCCUUUUUUUCCCUCCGCCGCGGUAAUACGGAAGGUCCGGGCGUUAUCCGGAUUUAUUGGGUUUAAAGGGAGCGUAGGCCGGAGAUUAAGCGUGUUGUGAAAUGUAGACGCUCAACGUCUGCACUGCAGCGCGAACUGGUUUCCUUGAGUACGCACAAAGUGGGCGGAAUUCGUGGUGUAGCGGUGAAAUGCUUAGAUAUCACGAAGAACUCCGAUUGCGAAGGCAGCUCACUGGAGCGCAACUGACGCUGAAGCUCGAAAGUGCGGGUAUCGAACAGG